This 793-nucleotide ribosomal RNA is filed under the name uncultured bacterium. RNAcentral's name for it is "bacterial SSU rRNA". It matches the Rfam family "Bacterial small subunit ribosomal RNA", at positions 8 to 796 of the family's 1533-position model. The record is from RNAcentral.
AGAGUUUGAUCCUGGCUCAGAUUGAACGCUGGCGGCAGGCCUAACACAUGCAAGUCGAGCGGAUGAAAGGAGCUUGCUCCUGGAUUCAGCGGCGGACGGGUGAGUAAUGCCUAGGAAUCUGCCUGGUAGUGGGGGACAACGUUUCGAAAGGAACGCUAAUACCGCAUACGUCCUACGGGAGAAAGCAGGGGACCUUCGGGCCUUGCGCUAUCAGAUGAGCCUAGGUCGGAUUAGCUAGUUGGUGAGGUAAUGGCUCACCAAGGCGACGAUCCGUAACUGGUCUGAGAGGAUGAUCAGUCACACUGGAACUGAGACACGGCCCAGACUCCUACGGGAGGCAGCAGUGGGGAAUUUUGGACAAUGGGCGAAAGCCUGAUCCAGCAAUGCCGCGUGCAGGAUGAAGGCCUUCGGGUUGUAAACUGCUUUUGUACGGAACGAAAAGUCUCGGGAUAAUACCCUGGGACCAUGACGGUACCGUAAGAAUAAGCACCGGCUAACUACGUGCCAGCAGCCGCGGUAAUACGUAGGGUGCAAGCGUUAAUCGGAAUUACUGGGCGUAAAGCGUGCGCAGGCGGUUAUAUAAGACAGAUGUGAAAUCCCCGGGCUCAACCUGGGAACUGCAUUUGUGACUGUAUAGCUAGAGUACGGUAGAGGGGGAUGGAAUUCCGCGUGUAGCAGUGAAAUGCGUAGAUAUGCGGAGGAACACCGAUGGCGAAGGCAAUCCCCUGGACCUGUACUGACGCUCAUGCACGAAAGCGUGGGGAGCAAACAGGAUUAGAUACCCUGGUAGUCC